Molecule: ribosomal RNA, 593 nt
Filed under: Colletotrichum aotearoa
Lineage: Eukaryota; Fungi; Ascomycota; Sordariomycetes; Glomerellales; Glomerellaceae
Description: eukaryotic LSU rRNA
Rfam family: 5.8S ribosomal RNA (bases 231-384)
Source: RNAcentral
UAGAGGAAGUAAAAGUCGUAACAAGGUCUCCGUUGGUGAACCAGCGGAGGGAUCAUUACUGAGUUUACGCUCUACAACCCUUUGUGAACAUACCUAUAACUGUUGCUUCGGCGGGUAGGGUCUCCGCGACCCUCCCGGCCUCCCGCCCCCGGGCGGGUCGGCGCCCGCCGGAGGAUAACCAAACUCUGAUUUAACGACGUUUCUUCUGAGUGGUACAAGCAAAUAAUCAAAACUUUUAACAACGGAUCUCUUGGUUCUGGCAUCGAUGAAGAACGCAGCGAAAUGCGAUAAGUAAUGUGAAUUGCAGAAUUCAGUGAAUCAUCGAAUCUUUGAACGCACAUUGCGCCCGCCAGCAUUCUGGCGGGCAUGCCUGUUCGAGCGUCAUUUCAACCCUCAAGCUCUGCUUGGUGUUGGGGCCCUACAGCUGAUGUAGGCCCUCAAAGGUAGUGGCGGACCCUCCCGGAGCCUCCUUUGCGUAGUAACUUUACGUCUCGCACUGGGAUCCGGAGGGACUCUUGCCGUAAAACCCCCAAUUUUCCAAAGGUUGACCUCGGAUCAGGUAGGAAUACCCGCUGAACUUAAGCAUAUCAAUA